ACUCAUUGGACCCGGGGGCGGUACCCGGCGCCUCCACCAAAAUAUAAUCAACAAAGUUUAUACUUUGGUGGGGGCGAAAUAGGAUCGACAAGGGUGUAAAGAUUGCUCUUUUACUCGGCAUUGUACCACCGUCAUCGGACUAAAUUAGUAGUUGCAAACGACAACUAUGCGGAAGUACGUCUCGCUGCUUAAGCAGUGCGAAGGCUUCAAAUUAAGCCUUAAACCGUCGCAGGUUUAAGCGGGGUUCGGAGG
Molecule: transfer-messenger RNA, 252 nt
Filed under: Bartonella melophagi
Lineage: Bacteria; Pseudomonadati; Pseudomonadota; Alphaproteobacteria; Hyphomicrobiales; Bartonellaceae
Description: partial ssrA
Rfam family: Alphaproteobacteria transfer-messenger RNA
About the family: Bacterial tmRNA, also known as 10Sa RNA or SsrA, is named for its dual tRNA and mRNA-like properties. Its role is to liberate the mRNA from a stalled ribosome. To accomplish this part of the tmRNA is used as a reading frame that ends in a translation stop signal.
Source: RNAcentral